This 435-nucleotide ribosomal RNA is filed under the name uncultured bacterium. Its description in RNAcentral is "partial 16S ribosomal RNA". It matches the Rfam family "Bacterial small subunit ribosomal RNA", at positions 29 to 507 of the family's 1533-position model. The record is from RNAcentral.
AACGAACGCUGGCGGCAUGCCUAACACAUGCAAGUCGAACGAUUGCCUUCGGGUGAUAGUGGCGCACGGGUGCGUAACGCGUGGGAAUCUGCCCUUAGGUUCGGAAUAACAGCUGGAAACGGCUGCUAAUACCGGAUGAUAUCGCGAGAUCAAAGAUUUAUCGCCUGAGGAUGCGCCCGCGUUGGAUUAGGUAGUUGGUGGGGUAAAGGCCUACCAAGCCGACGAUCCAUAGCUGGUCUGAGAGGAUGAUCAGCCACACUGGGACUGAGACACGGCCCAGAAUCCUACGGGAGGCAGCAGUGGGGAAUAUUGGACAAUGGGCGCAAGCCUGAUCCAGCCAUGCCGCGUGAGUGAUGAAGGCGCUAGGGUUGUAAAGCUCUUUUACCCGGGAAGAUAAUGACUGUACCGGGAGAAUAAGCCCCGGCUAACUCCGUG